This 433-nucleotide ribosomal RNA is filed under the name uncultured bacterium. RNAcentral describes it as "partial 16S ribosomal RNA". It matches the Rfam family "Bacterial small subunit ribosomal RNA", at positions 29 to 507 of the family's 1533-position model. The record is from RNAcentral.
AACGAACGCUGGCGGCAUGCCUAACACAUGCAAGUCGAACGAGACCUCCGGGUCUUGUGGCGCACGGCUGCGUAACGCGUGGGAACCUGCCCUUAGGUUCGGAAUACCUCCCCGAAAGGGGUGCUAAUACCGGUUAAUGUCUUCGGACCAAAGAUUUGUCGCCGUUGGAUGGGCCCGCGUGGGAUUCGCUAGUUGGUAGGGUAAAAGCCUACCAAGGCGAGGAUCCAUAGCUGGUCUGAGAGGGUGACAAGCCACACUGGGCCUGAGACACUGCCCAGACUCCGACGGGAGGGGGGAGUGGGGAAUAUUGGACAAUGGGCGGAAGCCUGAUCCAGCAAUGGCGCGUGAGUGAUGAAGGGCUGAGGGUUGUAAAGCUCUUUUACCCGGGAUGAUAAUGACGGUACCGGGAGAAUAAGCACCGGCUAACUACGUG